GAACCCGCGCCCGCUCGCUUCGAAGCGUUUUUAGGCUACGCUACAGAAAUAUUUUUUUAUGGAAUAUAAAACCAGAGCCUCCCCCAGGAGGCGCCGCCGCCGGGCCCCGCUGGGGGAAGCCGCCUGCCGCUGACCUGGGCCCGAAGCCGCGGCGGCCGGGCGCUGCCUGAGGCGCCGCGUACCCCGAGGCUGCAAGAUCUUUAUUCCGCCUCCUUUCACCCUAAAAGCUUGCUGAAGUGCACUCUAAUAACAAAGGUGCUACAACACAUAUUUAAAGAUAAGGUUGAAGAAAAGGAACACUAUUUCAGGGUAAUGGUCUCCCGCUGGUAUCUAAGAGCUGAGGCAAGUACAUAUGUGAAAUAAAUGUCAAGAAAGCAUGUUUGCUUUUCAGUAAUGAUUACUUUAUUUCAGCUAUAUUAAGUGUAUGAUGUAAAUGUAAUUGUACUGUUUGCUAAAUGUUAGUACAGUAAAGAAAGAACAGCUCACCACCUUGACUUGCUUAAAUGUCAUGUAUUUCAAAAGAGCUUUUGUGUCUUUUGUUGAUUACAGACCAUUCUGUCCUUGAAGUUUAAGAUUAUGUAUUUUCAUGAGUUUAUCCUCCAUCUGAACAACUUCAUGUACCAGCUAAGGAACACCAUAAAGCACCUUCAGCUAAGCCUUUGAAGAUUGCCCUGUCACAAGUUUUCCGAAGCGCACUCUGUGUCUACCCCAGCCAUUAUCCCAUCAUCAGAGACAUUUGGAAGUUACUGUAGUACUCAGCAGAAUGAUCCUGCAGCUACUCUUCACAGGAAUGACAUCAAGACCUAACAAGAAGCAUGGGUGGAGCAAGAGAAGAUCUGCACUUGGAAGCACCCAUAAACCCACACAUUCUGGAUAUGAGGGAGGAGCACCCAUACGGCGUAGAUCUCCAGUGAGAACUGGGAGGGUAGGAGUCAGCUUAGCAAAGGAGGAAAAAGACAGUAACCAAGCAAACUAUACCACGGACAUUUCUGCUUUGUGGGAGAAGGCAUAGGCAAUUGGAUUUAACCAUCUGGGUGGAAUUUGUUUGGAUUAGCUCUGGCACAGUUUCAUGUACUCUUAAUUCAUCAGCGAAUGGAGAAACUAUACUGGAAAACUGCUGGGAAAAACAACAUUGUCCCUUAUGCUACUGUCGUAGGCAGAUAAAGCAUAACACCGUACAGUCUCUCUCUGUGUUUUUCUCUCUUCAUUGUCUCCCUGGCUAGUUUUCUUGUGCCAGUGCGUGUCUUCUCACAUCAGGAUUGGCUGCCUUUUCUUGGUGUGAGAUCUUGGCACAUAAAGAGCUAUAAUUACCCAAUAGUAUGGCUUGGUGAUUAUUAGCAAGGGUGGGAGUGCUCCUGCUUGAACAAUAAAAUCGCUUAUAUGGAAAAGCCA
This 1392-nucleotide long non-coding RNA is filed under the name Apteryx rowi (Okarito brown kiwi). RNAcentral describes it as "lncRNA (ENSARWG00000000279.1)". Lineage: Eukaryota; Metazoa; Chordata; Aves; Apterygiformes; Apterygidae. The record is from RNAcentral.